Molecule: ribosomal RNA, 378 nt
Filed under: Capensibufo rosei
Lineage: Eukaryota; Metazoa; Chordata; Amphibia; Anura; Bufonidae
Description: partial 12S ribosomal RNA
Rfam family: Bacterial small subunit ribosomal RNA
Source: RNAcentral
GCCCAGCCGUAAACUUUUAUUUACAUCUAAAUCGCCGGGGAACUACGAGCCAAGCUUAAAACCCAAAGGACUUGACGGUACCCCAUAUCCCCCUAGAGGAGCCUGUCCUGUAAUCGACAAUCCACGUUUAACCUCACCAUUUUUAGUUUAUCAGCCUGUAUACCUCCGUCGUCAGCUUACCACGUGAGCGCCUAUUAGUGAGCCCGAUGCUAUUUCACCAACACGUCAGGUCAAGGUGCAGCAAAUGAAAUGGGAAGAGAUGGGCUACACUUUCUAUUUUAGAAGAAACGAAAAACUAUUUAUGAAAUCUAGUUAGAAGGCGGAUUUAGUAGUAAAAAGGAAUUAGCAUGUCCAUUUUAACCCGGCACUGGGGUGUGU